ACUUUACAAUGCGGGAAACCGUGAUAAGGGAACUCCGAGUGCCCGUUAAAUCGGGCUGUCCACCAGUUUAAACAACUGGUGAAGAAAGGGCCGGGCAAGACCGGUGCCAGCCGCCGCGGUAAUACCGGCGGCUCGAGUGGUGGCCACUAUUACUGGGCUUAAAGCGUUCGUAGCUGGUCUGUUAAGUCUCUGGGGAAAUCUACCGGCUUAACCGGUAGGCGUCUCAGGGAUACUGGCNGACUAGGGACCGGGAGAGGUGAGAGGUACUCCAGCGGUAGGA
This 280-nucleotide ribosomal RNA is filed under the name uncultured archaeon. RNAcentral's name for it is "partial 16S ribosomal RNA". It matches the Rfam family "Archaeal small subunit ribosomal RNA", at positions 347 to 631 of the family's 1478-position model. The record is from RNAcentral.